GAAAUGCGAUAAGAAUGUGAAUUGCAGAAUUCAGUGAAUCAUCGAAUCUUUGAACGCACAUUGCGCCCGCCAACACUCUGGCGGGCAUGCCUGUUCGAGCGUCAUUUCAACCCUCAGAACCCCUUGCGGGAUCUGGCGUUGGGGAUUGGCAUCCAGCCAGCCCCGAAAUCUAGUGGCGGUCCCUCCGCGACCUCCCCUGUGCAGUAGCGAUACCUCGCAGCGGGACAGCGGUCUGACCACGCCGUAAAACCCCCAACUUCUCAAGGUUGACCUCGAAUCAGGUAGGAAUACCCGCUGAACUUAAGC
This 306-nucleotide unclassified non-coding RNA is filed under the name plant metagenome. RNAcentral's name for it is "partial contains 5.8S ribosomal RNA, internal transcribed spacer 2, and large subunit ribosomal RNA". The stretch from base 1 to 104 matches the Rfam family "5.8S ribosomal RNA", at positions 50 to 154 of the family's 154-position model. The record is from RNAcentral.